UUUAUAUAUAUAUAAGAAUAUGUAUAUUCUUAUAUAAAAGUAUAUAUAAGAAUAUAUAUGAAACUUUCUGUAAUAAAAAAUUUAAGAACAAGGUAAGCAUAUAUGUAUAUUCUCCUCACAUAUUAUAAAAUAUAAAAGGAAUAUCUUAUACUUCUACUCCACUUCAAGCCAUAAAGAACAUAAUAAGAAUAGAGUUUACUCAGUAGAAUGACUCGAGCCUGUUCUACCAUGCUGUCUUUUUGUAAGAAUUUUAUUGGAGUAUAGUUGAUUUGUAAUGUUGUGUUAGUUUCAGGUGUAUAGCAAAGUGAGUCAGUUAUACAUAUAGCAUAUUGAUUCUUUUUUUCCUAUAUACUGUACUGCCUUAGUCUAUAUGUUAACUGAUCAAGGAGGAAUUGACAUGAAGCCAGACCUCAAGAUCUUGGCCUGACCAAGUGAGACUGUCUAGAAGUCCCCGAGUGUAAUCUGGAGGUAAAGGGGAUCAUUAUGCUUCACUGAGAUAUUUCAAAAGCUGAAUUCCUAUGUUUUUCAAUACCAAUCAUCUCUUAUUCAGCCAUUGUGGCAAAAUGCCAAAGCCCCAGUCUAAGGUUACCCUGGGAAAUUUCUUUAAAACACAAUUUCUACUUUUAUUUCUGGAUUAUCAGAAAUAACUGGAUCCUUCUGGGGAUAAUAUAAACUAUUUGUCCCAUGUUCUGGGCAGAAUAUUGGCAUUUCUGAUGGAUGGGAGAAACUUAAAUCCAUUUUGGAAGAGAAAAGGGAAGAGGAGAAAUCAAUGUCUCAAUGUUCUAGAUUGAAUUUUCAAAAGUUUUUUAAAAAUUUUAAAACAAUUCUUCUAAGGUUUUACUCAUAAACAUAUGUGUGUCUCCCUUCCAUUAAAAAAUUCUUUCAAUAUUUCUCAGACUGUUCUUAAUCUGUUCUUUGCAAUUGUCAUAAAUCAGUAUCUUUACUGAGAACAGCACAGAUCCAACACUGUCAUUAAAAGUUUCCUACUCACACUAUACCCAGACAUAAAACUGGACUAUACCACAAAUCUUAGGACUAUCCCAAGAAGACUUCAAAUUUACAUGAAUUUUAAACCAACAUCUCUGUUAUUAGCAGCAGAUAGAGACUAAGUCCCAAGAUAUAAUGUCACUAAAGCACUAUUCUAUAAUCAGUUAAACAAGGUUUAGGUUUCAAAAUCUACUCUACAUGGAAGAUAAAACAAACAAACCAACAAACAAACAUGACUUCAAAUCAUUAUGUACUAUGUCAUUGUUACCCAUUCUGGUUAAUCAAAGCACAUAACUCAUCAAACUAGGACAAUGAACCAUAUGUACAUGAUCCAGUUACAUUAGUCUUAUUGGUCCUUGCCAAUCUGACAAAACCCAGCUUCAUGUUAAUAAUGAUGUCUCCCUUAAGAAAGAUCUGAAAUUCUUCUACCUACCUCCCACUCCUCCUAGCUCUGCACAAAAAACAUUCUUAACAGUAGAUAAAUGGACCCACUUCUUGAGGAUGACACCUGUGAAGUUACUCAGACACAGAGAUACAAAGACAUGAAUUCAUUUCUUCUUCCAAUGUAGCCUUUAAGUCACCUUUCUCUAGUAUACCUUUAUCACGUUAAUUUUGAAUGAUGUAUCUAUUUCAUCACACCCUCCAACUCUGUAACAAUCACUAAUACUUCUUGAAUGUCUUCUUUAGUCCUGGCACUCACGAGGUCUGUGUGUAUACUUGGCCAAUCUUCACAAUAAAUGUGUAAAGAAGAUAUUACUUUUUUAAAAUGAGGAAACGAAUAGCCAGAGAGAUUAAGCUCAAGGUAACCCAGCAAUAAAUGAUAGAGCUUAAAUUCUAACCUUAGCCCAUCUUCCUUUCUCUUCUGUUCUAUCUGCUGUUUCCUUUCCACUCUCUACAUAUCUCAACAGAACUGUGUUCCCACUUUCUGGGACUUUCACUCUCCUUUAUAACCACAGCAUCUAGUUCUCAUUGUGUAGAGGUCUGCCCCAUCCAGCUAUCUAUGCUGAAUGGAGAAAUUGGCUACCUCUGGAUGUUUACUAUUGAGAGGUCCAUUUGGCUCUCAUCCUUAAGCCACAUUUCACAGUAAUCACCUUUGCCACUAUAAGGGUAAUAUUUUGUUUUUCACCUACCUUAUUUCUGUAUCUCGUUUCGCAGUUGGUUCAAAACCCAGAUGGGGAAGGAAGAUGUUAUUUAUUGGGCCUGUUCUGACAUCACUGUCUUAGAACACGAGCUCUUGAGUCUGAAUGGAUUUUGCCUUUGCUUAUUAAGAAAGAGGGUUCCUUAUGCAAAUCAAUACUGUAAGCAAAUACAGUAGUUGUUUAACCUGCACGCGCGUGUGCACACACAGAGACAGAAAUUAGGUUAAGAACAUAUGUGUUAAUUUGCCUCUGAGGAACAAUUUUAAUUAUAAAUGAAACUUUUUUAUUCCUUGACUAGGCCCAGUAGGGCUUCUCUUUGGCAGUACCUACAUUUUUAUUUUUAGCAUUUGGUUAGAAAUGUUCUUUGUGAUUGAAAGCAAUAAAAUGAUUUUCAUUUAAAAGUGGUCAGACUGAUAUUCUCUCCCGUAACAAUGAGUCAUUAAGACUUUAAGCUUUUCUAACUUCUCCCUUUGUUGAAUUAAUAUCAAGACCCUUUCAACUUGCAAGUGGAAAGUAAUACAGCUUGCUGUGCAACCAAACCCAAGAAGCCCCACAGUGUAAAUACUACUCUUAGUACAUGGAGUCAAAGCCAGUUCAGCUCUUACAGGAUUCCUUUGAAUACAAGUCCCUCGCCAGCAACCAACAUAUUUUCUUAGCAAGAGGAAAAAUAGUUCACAGCAUGUUCCAUUACUUGCUAGUUCUUAGCUCCUAAAUAAUAAAAGUCAGUAAUCAGUGAAGUCAAAAUAAUGAUUUUAAACUCACACGGGGACCACCAGGUUACCAAUUACUCCAAAAAAAAGGAGAACAGGUUUAUGAUCAGAUGGCCCAUAGCAUUAAUUAAUAGCUGAAAAAUGGCAAGAAUCAAGGAUUCAUUUCAGUGCUUUAUGACUCACAUGCGAACGAUCAUAUGGAAAAUCAGAAUGAUUGCUGGAAAUAUAGAGACCCCGUUGCCCAGGAGAAAUGGGAUGACCUAACUUCUGGGGUUUCACAGACAGUAAACGGAUCAUCAGGGACCCUUCCUGCACAUUUCACAGUUCAUUUCAAGGUGCAUCCUAUGUGUCACAACCCCAAACACAAAUACCUGUGGGGUCAAACAGAUAACAAAAAUAAGUAACAUGGGACCAUGGGCCCCUAGUAACUAGUUCACACAACUCUAAAUUUUCAGUACGACUAGCUACACAAUCGGUGCAGCCAAUGCACAAUGAAAUGAAAGGCCCCUUGUUCUCAAAACAGCAAAAAAGGUGACAUGAAAGGUACUAAAAUAUGAAGCUUUUUAAUUUCUCCCCAGUCUCCUUGAGUCUCUGUCUCUCUUUCCACAUGACCUUCUCUCUCUGUCAAGAACUUUUCAUUUGUUAUUUAAGGUUGCAUUUCCCCAGGUGCAGGAAAACUCAUGAGUGUAGACCCUACGGGGUAAGACCUAAAAUUAAGACUCAGUAUGACGUGCUGCCUUGACAUCUGAAGCCAGAAGGGUCUCAAAAGGCCUAAUGGCAAGUCCCCGCUGUGCUCCUUCCUUGCCAAACACCCCACCUUAUCAUGGGGCCCAGGCACAGGGUCUGCUUAUUCCUGAGUAAUAGGUUUCAGUCCCCUGCCAGCCCACAGAAUUACUCAGACAAGCCAAUCCCAUCCUCUUCUGGAAACCAGGGGUCACCACUACCUCAUGUUACUACAAAGCCUCUACAAAGAAAUUACUCUCUCCUUUUCUUCUUGGAACAUGGUGGCCUCUCAGUAUGCCUUCCAUUAUUCUGUUUGGAUAGAUACCAAAAAUAUUUCAACUUCUCUUAAUUCUUUGCCAUGGAAAGAGCACUGCAGGUUUGACUGUGAGGGCCCGCUAAUAUCAGCCUCAGUGUAGCGGGGCAAGUAGAGUGUGGUUUGGGGACCUCAUGCCCUGUCAUGGAGCCUUCACCACCCAGCCUGCAAAUCAUUGCCACAUGUGAGCCCAAGAUUGCCAGAGAUGCCAUAUUUUCAAGGAAAGCCAGUAAUUCAGGUUUUUACAGGAAAAUUAAACUUAUUUAUAAAUGAUGAUGACUGAUGGGGAAAAAAUUUAAUGGUGAUUUAGCCCACACUAAAAGGACAAAAUAAAAAACACAUGUAGGUAGCAUUCAGCCAUGUUUGAUGGUCUCUGACAUGGAAGAAGAGUACCGCUGUCAUAAAAAUCCCAUUUAUUGCUGUGCUGUGACACCAUGUCACACCAUCAUUAUUUAUGUAUUUGCCUCUUUCCUCCACUAGACCCUGAGCUCCCUGUUGAAGGGUGUAUGUCUGCACUUGGCACAAUGGUCUGGCAUGCACCAGCUGCUACAGAAUCUCCCAUUAAAUGAUUUACAUUCAAUUAAUACUUAUUAAGAACCAACAAUUUCCCAGGCACUGAGAUGAACCAAACAAAUAAUACACAUAUUCAAUGAAUGAAUCUUUCAUUUUAAAGACUUCCUUCUUGUCUUUUCAAUGAGACUUUAAAAUCUCUAAGUUCUUUUAAAAUCACACCUAUCAGUAGCAGAGGGUCAGGUGCAGGGAUUUUUUUACUCUGCAAAAGUGAGCCUUCAACCAAGAAACACAUUAAAGAUCACCUGUGAAUUCACAUGGGGCAUCACAUGGUGACAGAGGGCUUGCAGUUGAAAUCCUCUGGGUGUGCCCCACCCUACAUGGUAUUAAAAACCUCUACAGUUAAGACUGCCAAGCCACCCUCCACCCUACCCAAUUAUUUGGGGCCCAUUCACCAUUAUCUAUAACCAUUCUUUCAACAGAUAUUAAUUUGAGGGCCUAAAUAUAACAAGUGAUGUGUGAGCUUAGAGGGACCACAGGACUGAAUCAAUGUAGUCUUGCCCUCAGUUGCUCUAAGACUAUAUAGAAAGACAAUUUUAGAAGCUCCCAUGGUGGCUCAGUGGUUAACGAAUCCGACUAGGAACCAUGAGGUUGCGGGUUCAGUCCCUGGUCUUGCUCAGUGGGUUAAGGAUCCGGCAUUGCCGUGAGCUAUGGUAUAGCUUGCAGAUGCGGCUCGGAUCCCGUGUAGCUGUGGCUCUGGUGUAGGCCAGCGGCUACAGCUCCAGAUAGACCCCUAGACUGGGAACCUCCACAUGCUGCGGGAGUGGCCCUAGUAAAGGCAAAAAGACAAAAAAAAUAAAUAAAUAAGAAAGACAAUUUUACCCUUAUUCCAUCUAACUUGCUUUUUUGGUCCACAAAUUCCUUCUUGCAGGAAAAUCAGCUCCAUCUAUCAUUCUUCUUGGCCUCUUUUCUACGGUACAGCCCCACUGACCCCCAGCACGACAUAAUAUAACAAGUGGGGCCAACCCAGUGUGUAUGAGGCCCAUAGGUUUACACUGGCCUGAACUGUCUCAGGGUAUAUAGGCACAUUUACUCUCAUGGUUCACUCAUGAAGACAUCACUACCUUUAUCCCAUACAAGUCCUCCCUCACACUCCCACCUCUUAGGAUACCUAUGGCACAACCAAACCAGAAUUGCUCUUAACCUGUUUUCAGGCUUCUGUGGCUGAGUAACCACAUUGGUGUUUCCCAAAUCGACCACUGCCUGCAAACCAUUGCCCAUUCUGCAUUAGUAACAAUAAUAACAAUUACCACUUAUUGACUCUUUACUCCAAUUGACUUUUUACUCUUGACCUAUUCUGAAGUCAGUUCAGGGAAUCUAGGUUAUGAUGCCAACACUUGUUUGAAACUCGCACUGCUUGUGUUUACAUAAGACCCCAAAUCUUAAUUCUGCACUUCCUUGUAGGAAUCCUGAUGCUGAGGUUCUCAGAUAUGGAUUUUUACAUACUGCAUGUGGGAACUAGCUCAGAUUCUCUCUCCCUAACCUUUCCAAAUCCACUGCUAUUCACCCAUGGCCACAUCAUCACGUUCUGGGGCAUUCUGCUAGGCGGUCUCCCUAGAAUUCAAACAGGAAGAAGGGAACAGGUGGUGGGACACCUAUGUCCUGUUUCCCCAAUCUUUACCUUUGGCUUCCGUCCUAAUCCCUCUUCCCCACCUUCUUCCAAGUGUUGGAGUCACUGGGUACCUCCGAGUGACCCCACAAGCAUUUUCACCCUAGCUUUCACCUUCUGACUCUUGCUUCCAUUAGCUAAGCUCCUGCUUCCCAUGGUAAGAGAGCUUUCUACCAUUUCUUAAUAGGACAUCCUCUUAAACCUUAUAUUUUAUCUUCUGUGUACUGUGUCUUGGCUCUUGUCAUGAUUAGAAGUAUGAGUGGAAUUUAAAUAACAAUUUUCUCUUUCAACAAGCCUUAGCUUUCAUUGAAGAUUCAAGCAAAUUGUUCUGAAACUCAAAAAUGAGCACUGAUCUCUUUGUUCUAAGUGUACCCUGAAAAAAUUAAUGUUUGGGGUAGAUGAGUUGCCCUUUGGACAAGAUAAUUUAUGGAGAAUAAAAUGCAUUGGUAUGGUAUAUUUUUUAAAUGCUAUCCCAGGGUCAGUAACACUCAGAGUAGAAAGAGGUUGAAGUUACACUUGUUAUUUUCUGUCUCAAAACAAAGCUUCAAAAGGAAACAGUCUUCAGACUGAAUAAAAUGCACUGUGUCACCUGCCAUGUGCAUCUGCCUUCCUGGAUGCCAAGAUAUUGGAGGAGAUGAAUAUAUGGAUCCUCUACCACUCUGCCUUCCUCUCCACACUCAUCCCUAAUCCACCCCUUUCUCUUGUACUUACCUAGGCUGCCUGAGUGCCAUUAUUCUUGCAUCAGACCAAGAGUUAAGAUUUUUAAGUUGAGUGACUGAAAAAGCCUUUUUUUUUUAUUACUUAUAUCUUGCUUAUUAAAUAACAUUUAAUCAUUUCUGGCGAGUGUUGAUGGAGCAAACUCUUGGAUAGUAGAUGUCUGGAAACAUAUCUACACUUUCCAGCAUGAGCUUGUGUUAAAAAUUGCAACUAGAACUGUUUUCAUGCUAAACGUGUUCAUACAGUACUUGAAAGUUUAAUGUAGAAAACCUCUCUGUCUUUGAGAUGACGCAAUUAAACAACUUACCAAGUGAUUCAUCUAUCAAUUAGGUUUAACCUGUCUUACUUCAUUUAUAAUUUGGGUUCCUAAGAACUAGGGUAGACUUCCUCCCUAUGGAAGGGACCAUGGACCCUGGUUCAUGCCUACAGUGCCAUGCUUUGGGACAGCAGGACAGUUUGCUUCUAAUCCAGAGUCCUGAGACAACAAUGCAGCCGAUGACUGCCCCACAAUGUUCUAGGCUUGCUUAGUUGUUACUCUCCUUCAACACAUCCUCCCCUGCUGAGCCAUUUAGAAGUGAUGACCUGGCUAAUUCUUCAUAUUUGAACAUCCAGACCACAUACCACCAGACCUGUUCUAAGGAUAUCAUUAUCAGGUACACUAUCCAGGUCAGAGCCUCAUCUAGUACCACGUUAAGCCCAGGAAUCUCAUCAACAGGCUCCCUGGCAUCUUUCUAUGUCGACAUUCAUGGUAUUCAAUGCUGAGUCUCUGAGGUAUGCAUUUUGUGUAUUGACUUAAUCCCACCUUUAUCUUCCCAUUAUAGCCACUUAAUCAUUUAGCUGUGAUUGCUAUUAUUAUAUUCCCCAAACUGCCCAAAUACCUUCUUAAAAUGAGGCAAUAGGUAAACACUAACCAGACCAGCCUAGAAUUGUCAUUAAAAAAAAAAAAACCCUCUAGUAAUUAUAAACCAAAUGUUAGAGCUAAGAAUCAGCAACCCAGCUGUGUAAUGUCCCUGCCUUGUUCCCUGAGUACUACUGACCUAUGUUAUAAAGCCCAGACCUUUCCUUGGCCAAGAGCAGGUCAGUUUCCAUGGAGACAAUGAUGACAGUGACUGAGCAGGACUCCAGGGAUGAGAGGUAGAGCCUUCCAGAAGAUUUAGAUUGAGGCUGACUCUAUCCUAAUUUCUUUCCAUAUAGUCAAUAUAGACAGCCUACCUGCUGGGAGCAGAGAUAUCAAAACUCCCACGUUUUUUGGUCUCUACAAAUGGGUUCAUUUCCAGUCCCCAGGAGGUAGCACAGAGCAUUGGAAAGCACAAGAUUUGAAAUCAAACCCAGUUAUCCACCCUUACAGCCAUGUGAUCUUAGAAAGUUACUUAACUUCUUGAAGCUGGUGUUA
This 8161-nucleotide long non-coding RNA is filed under the name Sus scrofa (pig). RNAcentral's name for it is "lncRNA (ENSSSCG00000041061.1)". The record is from RNAcentral. Lineage: Eukaryota; Metazoa; Chordata; Mammalia; Artiodactyla; Suidae.